GACGAACGCUGGCGGCGUGCUUAACACAUGCAAGUCGAACGGAAAGGCCCUGCUUUCGUGGGGUGCUCGAGUGGCGAACGGGUGAGUAACACGUGAGUAACCUGCCCUUGACUUUGGGAUAACUUCAGGAAACUGGGGCUAAUACCGGAUAGGAGCUCCCGCUGCAUGGUGGGGGUUGGAAAGUUUCGGCGGUUGGGGAUGGACUCGCGGCUUAUCAGCUUGUUGGUGGGGUAGUGGCUUACCAAGGCUUUGACGGGUAGCCGGCCUGGGAGGGUGACCGGCCACAUUGGGACUGAGGGACGGCCCAGACUCCUACGGGAGGCAGCGGUGGAAAAUAUUGCCCAAUGAGCGGACGCCGGAUGAAGCAACGCCGCGUGCGGGAUGACGGCCUUCGGGUUAUAAACCGCUUUAGCCUGUGACGACGCGUGUGUGACGGUAAUGAGUGAAGAAGCACCGGCUAACUACGUG
Molecule: ribosomal RNA, 468 nt
Filed under: uncultured bacterium
Lineage: Bacteria
Description: partial 16S ribosomal RNA
Rfam family: Bacterial small subunit ribosomal RNA
Source: RNAcentral